AUUGAACGCUGGCGGCAGGCCUAACACAUGCAAGUCGAACGGUAACAGGAAACAGCUUGCUGUUUCGCUGACGAGUGGCGGACGGGUGAGUAAUGUCUGGGAAACUGCCUGAUGGAGGGGGAUAACUACUGGAAACGGUAGCUAAUACCGCAUAACGUCGCAAGACCAAAGAGGGGGACCUUCGGGCCUCUUGCCAUCGGAUGUGCCCAGAUGGGAUUAGCUAGUAGGUGGGGUAACGGCUCACCUAGGCGACGAUCCCUAGCUGGUCUGGGAGGAUGACCAGCCACACUGGAACUGAGACACGGUCCAGACUCCUACGGGAGGCAGCAGUGGGGAAUAUUGCACAAUGGGCGCAAGCCUGAUGCAGCCAUGCCGCGUGUAUGAAGAAGGCCUUCGGGUUGUAAAGUACUUUCAGCGGGGAUGAAGGGAGUAAAGUUAAUACCUUUGCUCAUUGACGUUACCCGCAGAAGAAGCACCGGCUAACUCCGUG
RNAcentral lists this ribosomal RNA (490 nucleotides) under uncultured bacterium. Its description in RNAcentral is "partial 16S ribosomal RNA". It matches the Rfam family "Bacterial small subunit ribosomal RNA", at positions 30 to 507 of the family's 1533-position model. The record is from RNAcentral.